GGAGAGAUGGCCGAGCGGUCGAAGGUGCUCGCUUGGAAAGCGAGUGUACCCCACAAGGGUACCGGGGGUUCGAAUCCCUUUCUCUCCA
RNAcentral lists this transfer RNA (88 nucleotides) under Reichenbachiella agarivorans. Its description in RNAcentral is "Reichenbachiella sp. BKB1-1 tRNA-Ser". It matches the Rfam family "tRNA". From Rfam's summary of the family: Transfer RNA (tRNA) molecules are approximately 80 nucleotides in length. The record is from RNAcentral. Lineage: Bacteria; Pseudomonadati; Bacteroidota; Cytophagia; Cytophagales; Reichenbachiellaceae.